UAUCUCUGUAGAGUCUGCAUAUCAAUAAGCGGAGGAAAAGAAACUAACAAGGAUUCCCCUAGUAACGGCGAGUGAAGCGGGAAGAGCUCAAAUUUGAAAUCUUCAAGGUUCUACCUUGACGAAUUGUAGUUUAAAGAAGUGUUUUCGGUUAGAGGAGUAGUAAAAGUUCUUUGGAAUAGGACAUCAUAGAGGGUGAGAAUCCCGUAUUUGACUAUUCUUCUAGCUUUGUGAUACACUUUCAAAGAGUCGGAUUGUUUGGGAAUGCAGUCCAAAAUGGGUGGUAAAUUUCAUCUAAAGCUAAAUAUUGGCGAGAGACCGAUAGCGAACAAGUACCGUGAGGGAAAGAUGAAAAGAACUUUGAAAAGAGAGUUAAACAGUACGUGAAAUUGUCAAAAGGGAAGCGUUUGACACCAGUGUUGUUUUUCCGAAAAUCAAUAAAAAUUGAUUCAUGCCAGGUUGUAUUGACCUUAUCAGCUUGCAAUUUGGUUUUGGGUCUCUUUUUGAUGCACUUUUCGGUUAACAAGUCAACAUCAAUUUCCUUUGCUGUAAAAAGGUAAGAGGAAGGUGGCUUCAAUUUCGGUUGAAGUGUUUAUAGCCUUUUAUCUCUGCAGUCGGGGAGAUUGAGGUCUGCAGCGUAGAUCCUUCGGGGCUAGAUACACUUAUGCUAAGUUAUAGCUUUUCAUAGACAACUUGUUGACUAUGUUUAGUCAUGUAGCUUACUCGUAAGUGCUAUUUUACCUACGCUUAGGAUGUUGAGCGCAUGUCUCUCUCU
RNAcentral lists this ribosomal RNA (772 nucleotides) under uncultured Neocallimastigales. RNAcentral describes it as "partial large subunit ribosomal RNA". It matches the Rfam family "Eukaryotic large subunit ribosomal RNA", at positions 24 to 642 of the family's 3401-position model. The record is from RNAcentral. Lineage: Eukaryota; Fungi; Neocallimastigomycota; Neocallimastigomycetes; Neocallimastigales.